GACGAGUGUUCACGUUACCAGCCAACCGCUCUGUACCAAGUGUCUGUUCUGCUCAAGAAACAAAGCAUCCAGAACCAAUUAUUACUAAUUUGAGUUGAGUAAAAUAUCAUUCUAACAAUAACAAAAGAACAACCCAAUUUAAAAAAUGGACAAAAGGCUUAAAGACAAUUCUCCAAAGAAUCUAUACAAAUGAAGACUGAACCGAUGAAAAUGUGUUCCACCUCACUAAUAAUGAGGCAGCAAAGACCGAUUCGCACCAAUUUGAACAGGUUUCAUUUAAGAGAAGGAGAAGAGAAGGAAGACGAGAAAGGACAAAGCAGGUAUAAGGGAAUAGAGAACUGAGAACUGGAUCCCUUGUGUGUUGCUGAUGAGACUGUAAGACAAUGCAGCUGCUGUAGGGAGCAGUUUGGCAGGUCUUCAAAGCCUUAAACAUAGAACUGCUAUAAGAUCCCUCCGUUUCACCUCUGGCUGUAUACUUAAGGGAACCAAAAGCCCAGACUCCAACAGUUAACCCAGCCUCACUGUCAAAUGAUGUUGACAUCUGAGUGCCCAUCAGUCGCUGUAGACAAGCACAGCAUGGUAAGGCCGUUGUACACAGCAAUACCAAUGGACUUUAAAGACAUCACGUGAAGAGAAAUAAGCCCGUUGCAAAUCGUGGACAAAUGACGUGUAGUUUGUAGAAGCUGUCUUGAAGAGUCAGAUUCCUAGAAAAUAGAAUGGUGGCCGCCAAGAGCUGGAGGCAGGGGAGAGUGUUGCGUUUGUAUUCAUUUUGUGUGAGUGCAUGUGUGUAUUUGGGUGCAAAUAAAAGCCAAGGGAAAAACUU
This 823-nucleotide long non-coding RNA is filed under the name Mus musculus (house mouse). RNAcentral's name for it is "RIKEN cDNA 8430426J06 gene, transcript variant 3 (8430426J06Rik)". The record is from RNAcentral. Lineage: Eukaryota; Metazoa; Chordata; Mammalia; Rodentia; Muridae.